GGUCCUAUAGUCUAGUGGUCAGGACGUUGGAUUUUGAUUCCAAAGUCGCCAGUUCGAACCUGGCUAGGACCU
This 72-nucleotide transfer RNA is filed under the name Fusarium vanettenii 77-13-4. RNAcentral's name for it is "tRNA-Gln (TTG) (tRNA-Gln-TTG-1-1)". It matches the Rfam family "tRNA". Rfam says of the family: Transfer RNA (tRNA) molecules are approximately 80 nucleotides in length. Lineage: Eukaryota; Fungi; Ascomycota; Sordariomycetes; Hypocreales; Nectriaceae. The record is from RNAcentral.